Molecule: unclassified non-coding RNA, 228 nt
Filed under: plant metagenome
Description: partial contains small subunit ribosomal RNA, internal transcribed spacer 1, and 5.8S ribosomal RNA
Rfam family: Eukaryotic small subunit ribosomal RNA (bases 1-54)
Source: RNAcentral
GGAAGUAAAAGUCGCAACAAGGUUUCCGUAGGUGAACCUGCGGAAGGAUCAUUCAUAAUAAGUGUUUUACUGCACUUUUUAAAAAUAGUACUCACCUUGUGUGCAAUGUUGUGUUUCUUUUCGGAGAAACACCUACACCAACCUAUAACCUUGAACCACUUUGUCUGAAAAACUAUUAUGAAUACUUAAUUCAAAAUACAACUUUCAACAACGGAUCUCUUGGCUCUC